This 436-nucleotide ribosomal RNA is filed under the name uncultured Actinomycetes bacterium. RNAcentral describes it as "bacterial SSU rRNA". It matches the Rfam family "Bacterial small subunit ribosomal RNA", at positions 1002 to 1438 of the family's 1533-position model. The record is from RNAcentral. Lineage: Bacteria; Bacillati; Actinomycetota; Actinomycetes.
GGAAACACAACCACCUUCCUUCGGGGAGGAUCACCGGUGGUGCAUGGGUGUCGUCAGCUCGUGUCGUGAGAUGUUGGGUUAAGUCCCGCAACGAGCGCAACCCCUGGCGCAUGUUGCCAGCAUUAAGUUGGGGACUCAUGCGAAACUGCCGGUGACAAACCGGAGGAAGGUGGGGAUGACGUCAAGUCAUCAUGCCCCUUAUGUCCAGGGCUACACACGUGCUACAUUGGGCGGUACAGAGGGGUGCGAUACCGCGAGGUGGAGCGAAUCCCAAAAAGCCGGUCUCGGUUCAGAUUGGAGGCUGAAACUCGCCUCCAUGAAGGCGGAGUUGCUAGUAAUCCCAGAUCAGCAACGCCGGGGUGAAUACCUUCCCGGGCCUUGUACACACCGCCCGUCACAUCAGGAAAGUUGGUAACACCCGAAGCCGGUGGCCUAA